Molecule: ribosomal RNA, 254 nt
Filed under: uncultured bacterium
Lineage: Bacteria
Description: partial 16S ribosomal RNA
Rfam family: Bacterial small subunit ribosomal RNA
Source: RNAcentral
CAAACCAAAGCUGGCGACCGGCGCACGGGUGAGUAACACGUAUCCAACCUGCUCAUACUCGGGGAUAGCCUUUCGAAAGAAAGAUUAAUAUCCGAUAGCAUAUAUUUCCCGCAUGGGUUUUAUAUUAAAGAAAUUCGGUAUGAGAUGGGGAUGCGUUCCAUUAGUUUGUUGGGGGGGUAACGGCCCACCAAGACUACGAUGGAUAGGGGUUCUGAGAGGAAGGUCCCCCACAUUGGAACUGAGACACGGUCCAA